This 72-nucleotide transfer RNA is filed under the name Ictidomys tridecemlineatus (thirteen-lined ground squirrel). Its description in RNAcentral is "Spermophilus tridecemlineatus (thirteen-lined ground squirrel) tRNA". It matches the Rfam family "tRNA". From Rfam's summary of the family: Transfer RNA (tRNA) molecules are approximately 80 nucleotides in length. Lineage: Eukaryota; Metazoa; Chordata; Mammalia; Rodentia; Sciuridae. The record is from Rfam by way of RNAcentral.
UAGGUUGUGGCUCAGAGGUAGAGCGCUCGCCUACCAUGUGUGAAACACUGAGUUCAAUCCUCACCAACACAU